RNAcentral lists this ribosomal RNA (483 nucleotides) under uncultured bacterium. RNAcentral's name for it is "partial 16S ribosomal RNA". It matches the Rfam family "Bacterial small subunit ribosomal RNA", at positions 28 to 507 of the family's 1533-position model. The record is from RNAcentral.
GACGAACGCUGGCGGCGUGCUUAACACAUGCAAGUCGAACGCUGAAGCUCAGCUUUUGUUGGGUGGAUGAGUGGCGAACGGGUGAGUAACACGUGAGUAACCUGCCCCCUUCUUUGGGAUAACGCCCGGAAACGGGUGCUAAUACUGGAUAUUCACUGGUCUUCGCGUGGGGGUUGGUGGAAAGGGUUUUUCUGGUGGGGGAUGGGCUCGCGGCCUAUCAGCUUGUUGGUGGGGUGAUGGCCUACCAAGGCUUUGACGGGUAGCCGGCCUGAGAGGGUGACCGGUCACAUUGGGACUGAGAUACGGCCCAGACUCCUACGGGAGGCAGCAGUGGGGAAGAUUGCACAAUGGGCGCAAGCCUGAUGCAGCGACGCCGCGUGAGGGAUGGAGGCCUUCGGGUUGUGAACCUCUUUCGCUCAUGGUCAAGCCGCAACAAUGGUUGUGGUGAGGGUAGUGGGUAAAGAAGCGCCGGCUAACUACGUG